AGGAAAAAACACAAGCUUUGGAUAACACUUGCCCCUACAAUGUCUACACCAAUUCUUGAUAAAAAUCAGAAUGCUGAUGCUCAGACAUAGACUAGAACUCAAGUUCUUCCACCUAAUGUGACACAACAAGAUGAUAAACAGGGUGUGUAUAACACACAUUCCCCUCCAAUCUCUUCACUAAUUUCACUAAUUCUCGAUCAAAAUCAGAAUUCUUUGGUAAGAAAAAAUAUUUAAAAUAUUUUUAUAAUAUUUUUCUAUUUAACUAACUCUUACAAUUUCCUUUUUUCAUAUAGGCUGAGACACAGACUGAGACCCAUUUUUUUCCAUAAGAUAGAGAGAGCCAUCGGAUGAGACGCCUUCUCAGCCGAAUCAAGCAGAAGAAAAUCUUAACGAUGAGGUAAGAUUUAUUCUUAAAUUAUAGUUGAAUGUAUUUUGGAAGAAAAACUAUUGUUAUUUAUAUCAUUAUAAACAUGUUUUUCCAGGAUACUACAGAGCCUACAGCAUUAUGAACAUGUUUUUGUAGGAUGCUACAGAUCCUUUGAUUGUGAUCAUUUCGCCAAACAAUAAAAAGGUAAACACAUGUAAUUUUGAAAGAUUUUGUACUUGUUCAUGAUCCCCUUCAUGAUAUUUUUUGUAGAUGAGAACAUAGGCAACGAAUGAGACACAUGCCUCUCCAAUGGCUCAACCGAGUACUGAGACUCCAGUUUUGCUCCAAAUCAGACGCAACAAAUGGAAACAGAGGCAACGAAUGAGACACCAGCAUCUCCAAUAGCUCAACCGAGUACUGAGACUCCAUUAUUUUACUCCAAAUCAGAUGCAACAGUUUUUAAACUCCAAUAGCUCAACCGAGUACCUGUCUUUGCAGAUGCUUGUCUGUGGUUCGCAUUCUGUUGUAUCACAUGUAUGCUCAUGCACAUAUUUCUUAACCACAAAAAAAAAUCUGAACAAGACAACUUAGUGGCACGCAUUCUCCACGAGCAAUUGUCACCAACACACCGCAAUACAACUCUUGACUUGUUAGACUAGACAGUCUUGUACUCAAACUUCCACUCUAAAAGCCCAUUUCUUCAUCCUAAACAUUAACUCUCCCUUGCUCUUAAAAUAGCUAUUCACCUUAAUAGCGUCAUCUUCUCUCGUGGUUGGUGAAAGUCCAAUAUGGACAUGACUAAAAUCCAGAAUAGGAUUAAGAGGAACUGCAGAGAUGCCUUGGCAAGGAAGAGUCGCAAAAUUUAAG
Long non-coding RNA from Brassica napus (rape), 1234 nucleotides. RefSeq lists it as uncharacterized. NCBI's taxonomy places the organism in Eukaryota, Viridiplantae, Streptophyta, Magnoliopsida, Brassicales, Brassicaceae. The transcript is spliced from 4 exons. The record is from RefSeq and is a predicted model, not a curated record.